This 499-nucleotide ribosomal RNA is filed under the name uncultured bacterium. RNAcentral's name for it is "partial 16S ribosomal RNA". It matches the Rfam family "Bacterial small subunit ribosomal RNA", at positions 28 to 507 of the family's 1533-position model. The record is from RNAcentral.
GAUGAACGCUGGCGGCGUGCCUAAUACAUGCAAGUCGAGCGAACAGACGAGAGUGCUUGCACUCUCUGACGUUAGCGGCGGACGGGUGAGUAACACGUGGGUAACCUACCUAUAAGACUGGGAUAACUUCGGGAAACCGGAGCUAAUACCGGAUAAUAUUUAGCUUCGCAUGAAGCAAUAGUGAAAGACGGUUCUGCUGUCACUUAUAGAUGGACCCGCGGUGUAUUAGCUAGUUGGUGAGGUAACGGCUCACCAAGGCAACGAUACAUAGCCGACCUGAGAGGGUGAUCGGCCACACUGGGACUGAGACACGGCCCAGACUCCUACGGGAGGCAGCAGUAGGGAAUCUUCCGCAAUGGACGAAAGUCUGACGGAGCAAUGCCGCGUGAGUGAAGAAGGUUUUCGGAUCGUAAAACUCUGUUGUAAGGGAAGAACAAGUACGUUAGUAACUGAACGCACCUUGACGGUACCUUACCAGAAAGCCACGGCUAACUACGUG